AUCCUGCAUUACUAUAAGAGACGAGAGCUCAUCGUUCAUUCUCAGAAUGGCUGGGCAGAGGGGCUAAAGGCAGAGCUACAGGUACUGAGCCUCUCUGCGAAAUGGCGCCCCGGAGGCACUUCGCUUAGGCUAGCCCUAUGAGACCUAGGGGACAAGCGUUGAAAACUAGGGUGAUGAACAUUGAGCAGAAGGGUCACUGUCCCUAACCCAAGAUCUAGGUGGGAAAUAAGCUGGUGACCCCAAUGAAGAGGAUAUAUAAGAAGGAGCCGAGCAUCUGGUACUUUCUCUGAUCUGCUCUCUGAGCCUCAGCCUGGGCCUUGUCCUUUGGAUGAAACACCUACAGCAGCUACCUUCGGAGUCAAGACACAUUCAGCAUAUGGGGUUCCUAGCCAGGGAAGUCAACGGACACUAACUGAACACUAGCCUCUUGCAAAUCACAAUAUAAAACAUGGGGCUGGACACCAUGGGGGAAUCCCAGGAACCCUUGGUCUUUGCCCCCAAGAAAUUAACAGCUGAGUUAUGGAAAUAAAGCCAUUUAAAUGUUCAAUGAAAAUUCAAGCUAUGUGUUAUUAUCCAAAAGUGAGGGUGGAAUCAUUAAUGAUCUAAAAGGAGGAAGAGAAGCAGCAAUUUUGUGGAAGAUGUAGGUCCAGGGCUUUGAACAAGGCUUGGAAGGCUCCUGGUGGGCAGAUA
Mustela erminea (ermine) is the source of this 690-nucleotide long non-coding RNA. RefSeq lists it as uncharacterized. Lineage: Eukaryota; Metazoa; Chordata; Mammalia; Carnivora; Mustelidae. The transcript is spliced from 3 exons. The record is from RefSeq and is a predicted model, not a curated record.